RNAcentral lists this ribosomal RNA (301 nucleotides) under uncultured bacterium. Its description in RNAcentral is "partial 16S ribosomal RNA". It matches the Rfam family "Bacterial small subunit ribosomal RNA", at positions 509 to 807 of the family's 1533-position model. The record is from RNAcentral.
CAGUAGCCGCGGGAAUACAGAGGGUGCAAGCGUUAAUCGGAAUUACUGGGCGUAAAGCGCGCGUAGGUGGUUUGUUAAGUUGGAUGUGAAAUCCCCGGGCUCAACCCAUAGUCUGCAUAGGAAACUGUCGGGCUUGAGGAUGGGAGAGGUGAGUGGAAUUUCCGGUGUAGCGGUGAAAUGCGUAGAUAUCGGAAGGAACACCUGUGGCGAAAGCGGCUCACUGGACCAUUACUGACGCUGAUGCACGAAAGCUAGGGGAGCAAACAGGAUUAGAUACCCGCGUAGUCCCUGUCUCUUAUAC